UACACAUGCAAGUCGAACGGCAGCACGGGGGCAACCCUGGUGGCGAGUGGCGAACGGGUGAGUAAUACAUCGGAACGUGUCCUGGAGUGGGGGAUAGCCCGGCGAAAGCCGGAUUAAUACCGCAUACGCUCUAUGGAGGAAAGGGGGGGAUCUUCGGACCUCCCGCUCAAGGGGCGGCCGAUGGCAGAUUAGCUAGUUGGUGGGGUAAAGGCCUACCAAGGCGACGAUCUGUAGCUGGUCUGAGAGGACGACCAGCCACACUGGGACUGAGACACGGCCCAGACUCCUACGGGAGGCAGCAGUGGGGAAUUUUGGACAAUGGGCGCAAGCCUGAUCCAGCAAUGCCGCGUGUGUGAAGAAGGCCUUCGGGUUGUAAAGCACUUUUGUCCGGAAAGAAAACCUCGUGGUUAAUACCCGUGGGGGAUGACGGUACCGGAAGAAUAAGCACCGGCUAACUACGUGCCAGCAGCCGCGGUAAUACGUAGGGUGCAAGCGUUAAUCGGAAUUACUGGGCGUAAGGCGUGCGCAGGCGGUCCGCUAAGACAGAUGUGAAAUCCCCGGGCUUAACCUGGGAACUGCAUUUGUGACUGGCGGGCUAGAGUAUGGCAGAGGGGGGUAGAAUUCCACGUGUAGCAGUGAAAUGCGUAGAGAUGUGGAGGAAUACCGAUGGCGAAGGCAGCCCCCUGGGCCAAUACUGACGCUCAUGCACAAAA
Molecule: ribosomal RNA, 713 nt
Filed under: uncultured bacterium
Lineage: Bacteria
Description: bacterial SSU rRNA
Rfam family: Bacterial small subunit ribosomal RNA
Source: RNAcentral